Drosophila ananassae is the source of this 163-nucleotide long non-coding RNA. RefSeq lists it as uncharacterized. The transcript is spliced from 2 exons. Lineage: Eukaryota; Metazoa; Arthropoda; Insecta; Diptera; Drosophilidae. The record is from RefSeq and is a predicted model, not a curated record.
GAAAAGUGGGCUACAAAUUGAAACUAACACCAUUGGUUCCACCUUCUGCACAAUAAAGAUUAAAAAUACAUAGACGUUUAAAUACACACUUAUGAGAAUCUCCUAAAAAGUAAAUUUUUAAUGAAAUAAAUAAAAAUCUUACAAAAAGAUUACUAACACGAGC